GGGGUUUGUUUUUUUUACUUUUUUAAACUUUUAUCUGAGCUAUGUCCGGCCGUGGGAAGCAGGGCGGGAAGGCGCGGGCCAAGGCCAAGUCGCGCUCGUCGCGGGCCGGGCUGCAGUUCCCCGUGGGCCGCGUGCACCGGCUGCUGCGCAAGGGCAACUACGCGGAGCGGGUGGGUGCCGGCGCCCCGGUGUACCUGGCGGCCGUGGUGGAGUACCUGACGGCCGACAUCCUGGACCUCGCGGGGAGACAACAAGAAGACGCGCAUCAUCCCGCGGCACCUGCAGCUGGCCAUCCGCAACGACGAGGAGCUCAACAAGCUGCUGGGCAAGGUGACCAUCGCGCAGGGUGGGGUGCUGCCCAACAUCCAGGCUGUGCUGCUGCCUAAGAAGACUGACAGCCACAAGGCCAAGGCCAAGUAAAUCUCUUUCAACAACCGACCCAAAGGCUCUUUUCAGAGCCACCCACGUUGUCCCAGA
Non-coding RNA from Opisthocomus hoazin, 477 nucleotides. The record is from RefSeq and is a predicted model, not a curated record. Lineage: Eukaryota; Metazoa; Chordata; Aves; Opisthocomiformes; Opisthocomidae.